GGAAAUGUGCCCGAAAUCUAAAGGACUACUUUGAUAGAGUAUAUUAUAGGAGUUAAAAUCUCCUCAUUUCC
This 71-nucleotide transfer RNA is filed under the name Scelotes anguinus (Boulenger's burrowing skink). RNAcentral describes it as "tRNA-Ile". It matches the Rfam family "tRNA". From Rfam's summary of the family: Transfer RNA (tRNA) molecules are approximately 80 nucleotides in length. Their secondary structure includes four short double-helical elements and three loops (D, anti-codon, and T loops). Lineage: Eukaryota; Metazoa; Chordata; Lepidosauria; Squamata; Scincidae. The record is from RNAcentral.